CCUACGGGGGGCAGCAGUGAGGAAUAUUGGUCAAUGGACGAGAGUCUGAACCAGCCAAGUAGCGUGAAGGAUGACUGCCCUAUGGGUUGUAAACUUCUUUUAUAUGGGAAUAAACUGUUCCACGUGUGGGAUUUUGUAUGUACCAUAUGAAUAAGGAUCGGCUAACUCCGUGCCAGCAGCCGCGGUAAUACGGAGGAUCCGAGCGUUAUCCGGAUUUAUUGGGUUUAAAGGGAGCGUAGGUGGAUUGUUAAGUCAGUUGUGAAAGUUUGCGGCUCAACCGUAAAAUUGCAGUUGAAACUGGGAGUCUUGAGUACAGUAGAGGUGGGCGGAAUUCGUGGUGUAGCGGUGAAAUGCUUAGAUAUCACGAAGAACUCCGAUUGCGAAGGCAGCUCACUGGACUGCAACUGACACUGAGGCUCGAAAGUGUGGGUAUCAAACAGGAUUAGAUACCCUUGUAGUC
This 460-nucleotide ribosomal RNA is filed under the name uncultured bacterium. RNAcentral's name for it is "partial 16S ribosomal RNA". It matches the Rfam family "Bacterial small subunit ribosomal RNA", at positions 338 to 795 of the family's 1533-position model. The record is from RNAcentral.